This is an RNA transcript of Rhinopithecus roxellana (golden snub-nosed monkey), 1921 nucleotides long. It is a transcript of the gene named transmembrane and coiled-coil domains 2, with no coding region annotated. The record is from RefSeq and is a predicted model, not a curated record. NCBI's taxonomy places the organism in Eukaryota, Metazoa, Chordata, Mammalia, Primates, Cercopithecidae. The transcript is spliced from 2 exons.
AAUCGCUUGGACCCUGGAGACGGAAGUUGCAGUGAGCUGAGAUCGUGCCACUGCACUCCAAUCGGGCAACUGAGCAAGACUCCGUUUCAAAAAAAAAGAAAAAAAAGACUUAUGUUUAAACCAGCAUGAAUGACUAUAUGAUAAUACAGGGCAAAGGGUUUUUUUUUUUUUUUUUAGCUUGUAGUAAUCAUUUUAACUUGAUAUCUCUGGAAUUUGUCCCCACCCUGGCACAGACCUGAAAGCACUGACUUUGUUUUCAAAGCUUUUUCAAUGCAAGAGUGCCUCCAAAUGGUGAGUAGGAAUGAAGACUUCCAGAUGCUUCUAUUCUUGCCUGUACCCAGAAUUCUCUUGCUUCAGUGUUUUUCCCAUUUUCAUGAGCCCAUGUAUGAAAAAGGGUAAGGAACUGUGGAGAAGAAAGUUUUUAUUAGCCUUCCUCGGGGUAUUCCAUGCUCAAUCUAUCCUUUCUCAGUCCCAAAUAGCCUACUGAGCUGAACUGCCUAAGACAUAGUCAUUCACCAAAUAUUUAAGUACACACAUUUAAAAAGAUAAAAUUCCAGGUGCAAUGGGAGACGAGGAAAAACAGUAAAGUUGUCAGGGCCAUCAAGAAGCUUUCACAAGGUGAAGGGAGGGCUGGAGUUUCUCAAAACAUUGUUACUUAAAGUGUGGUAGUGGGCCAGCAGUAUGGGCAUCACCUAGGAGAUUGUUAUUAAUAAAAAUGCAUAAUUUCAGGCCCUACUCUAGACCUACUGGACCCAAAUGUGCGUGUUAGUAAGAUCUCCAGGUGAUUCUUAGGCACAGAAAAGUUCUAGAAGCACUGGCCUGAAGUGGGAAGUACUGUGAGAAUUCAGGGUGGUUACGCUUUUUCGCAUUUUACAUAAAAUUAUCUUGUUGAAUUUUCAUAAUCCAAUGAAGUAGGUGCUGUUAUUAUCCUUAUCUGACAAAGUACUUGAGUCAAAGCAUCUUGACAAAGCUUUUGACAAAGCAUCUUGCCUGGCUGGCACAAAUAGAGAUGGAGCCCAGUUUCCAAUCUCAUUCUGACUGGAAGAAUGUCAGAGAGGGACAUUUAGUAUAAAGGAAUAACAGAUGGAAAGUUGCAGGUGGUAUUUGAAGUACCAAAAAUACCACAGUUCUGUAAUGUGAGUGAGUGUGAAGGCGAAUAGUGGGAAAUACAAUUUGAAGUGUAGGUGAAAGCCAGGUUAUUCAACUCAAACUCCACAGUCAUGGUGUUGACAUUUCUUCAUUUUUGAAUAUAGAGAUGGGAAACUGGUGCAUGUUUUUUUCUGUGAAUAACAUGAAAGCUACGAAAAAGACAAGUUUUCUGAAACUUUUACUUACUUGUUUUUGUUAUUUUUUGAGACGAGAUCUCAUUAGGUUGCCCAGGCUGAUCUUGAACUCCUGAGCCCAAGCAAUCCUCCCACCCCAGCCUCCCAAAGUGCUGGAAUUGCAGGCAUGAACUACUGCACCUGGCCAGAAACUUCUAAAACUCAGAAACGUUGCUCCUCCUCACCUCCUACCCCAAGAAAACAUUGUUGUUUGUAAUCACACUCUACAAACUUUACAAGAAGGGCUCAGCUAUUUUUCAGGCUUUGCUAGCCAACCCAGAAGGAAGUGGUCUCCUAAUUCAAGACAAUAAUAAUAUCUUCCUGUCCUUGGGUCUGCAAGAGAAAAUUUUGAAAAAACUUCUGACAGUGGAAAACAAAGUGAAAGACCUAGAAGGGAUAAUCAUUGCUCAAAAACCUGCCACGAAGAGGGAUUGUUCCUCUGAGCCCUACUGCAGCUGCUCUGACUGCCAGAGUCCCUUGCCCACAUCAGGGUUUACUUCCCCAUUUGAAAUGUGAUGGACUCCAAUCUUCUCCAGAAAAGCACUGUUUCCCUCAUGUGUGCAGUGGCAUAUCAAUAAAGAUAGAGAACUCUAUUGAAA